Molecule: long non-coding RNA, 291 nt
Filed under: Oryza brachyantha (malo sina)
Lineage: Eukaryota; Viridiplantae; Streptophyta; Magnoliopsida; Poales; Poaceae
Description: long non-coding RNA (OBRA_LNC002552)
Source: RNAcentral
UCUCCUCCACCCCCACCGGCGGCGGCGGCGGCUUUGACUAGGGUUUCCCACCUCGCUCCUCCUGUGAUGCGUUUAGUUUUUUCCCAAGUUUUUUCCCCCCUCCUUCCUUCCUAGUCCGCAGCCUCUAGAUGGCUCGCCUCAGUGGUGCCUCGUCGUCGUCGUCUCCUCCUCCUCCUCCUCGCGUGGAGCGAGCGAGCGGUCGGUCGGUGAGCGUGACGACUGCUUCCUUCUUCUCUUCUCGGAGAGAGAGAGAAGGGGGGAAGGAGAGGAGGAGGGGGUGGGUGUGAGGCG